This 903-nucleotide long non-coding RNA is filed under the name Scophthalmus maximus (turbot). Its description in RNAcentral is "lncRNA (ENSSMAG00000032373.1)". Lineage: Eukaryota; Metazoa; Chordata; Actinopteri; Pleuronectiformes; Scophthalmidae. The record is from RNAcentral.
CGCGAGAGUAUGUCAGAGGAUGAAAAUCCCGUGUGCGUGCUAAGAACAGAGAAUGCUGUAGCGGCUGUCAACCGGAAGUGAUAUUGUUGCACUUUGCAGACACAGCAGGUCAGGACCAUCUAUGUGCAGGUACACUCAACCGUGUUGACCUGGCAGGAAGUGGGUGUCAGUCUGAGACUGGUGCUCCUCGCGAACGACUGUGCAAUGCCUCCCAAGAUCAACCUUUCCCUCUCGCCUUGGGUAACGUCUUCUCUGCCCCGGUGGACGGACGUUCAAGGCACAUCCCCGACCGGGACUCGGAGCUAAUGAGGCUGCUGCAGGACUGUCUGGGAGGAAACACGUGCACCUUGAUGAUCGCCUGUCUUUCCCCUCGCAGACAACCACUAUGAAGAGAGCGUGAGCAUGCUGCACCAUACCAACGGAUCCAAGAGCAUCCAGAACAGACCUCCAAUCACCGAGGACCCCAAGGACCCUCUGCUCAGAGAAGAUCAGGAGGAGAUCAGGAAGUUGUGGGCCCUCAUCUUUGGCCAGCUGGGCACUGCUAACAUUUCAGUGAGCUUGUGCUGUGUGACGCAGGCUGCUGAAGAAGAGCUCCGCCCUAAACCUGACCGGCUGUGCUUCAGUCCAACUGGGGAGACUUCUCAGACCAAGGCUGCAGCGGCUGGAUCAGGAGGCGGUGGGAGGAGAGCAGGCCAGGAACAAAGAGACAGAGAGCAGAGAGCGAAAAUGUGCUGUCAAACGAAUACAAUUUUAUCCAGGAAGAAGUCCAUGCAGAAAGUCACAUUCUGGGCAAGGUGGGUUAUUAAUAAUAAGGAUAAUCAUAUUUAUGUAGCGCCUUUCAAGGGACCCGAGGACGUUUUACAUUUCACACAAACACUUUACUUUCUAUUAGGUAAAUCCAUA